Non-coding RNA from Dermacentor andersoni, 791 nucleotides. The record is from RefSeq and is a predicted model, not a curated record. Lineage: Eukaryota; Metazoa; Arthropoda; Arachnida; Ixodida; Ixodidae.
CAGUGCUUCUGCAUCAACCCAAUUGAGCAGAGUUGAUCCAGCUGUGCCGAGCGGGACAUCUUCAGGACUGGACACAUCGAGCAUUCCUCAGAACACCUCGGCUAAAACCAGUAGUGCACUACUCAGCUUGUCUGAACCACCCGAUAUUGCGGAUGAUCAAAGCAGUGUGUCAGCAGCAACUAGCGAUUUCCUACCUAGUAUUUGUGAACCACCGAGUUUCGUGGAUGAUGUCAACAGUUUGCUGGCGCCCUUGAAAGUGAUGCCCUGUAAGUAGGCAGACUUCAUGUAUUGCGCAUGCAGUUAUAAUAGCCUUUCGAGCUUAUUACUUUUUCAAGCCGGGAUUGGAGCUCCAUAUUCCUUAAUUAGUCCUGAUAUAUGAGCACUUUGUUCUUACCUUUUCUUUUUCAGUGCAGCGGCCACCUUCAACAGUGGAAAAGAAGGCCAUCGACAUCGCAGUGCCACGUAUUGGCACAAACGAUGUGUGCAAGAAGAUCACGGCAAUGAUUUUGCCGCAUCUGGAGAGUUGCCCUCUAUUUAUAUGCGAGGCAAGAGAAGACCAUGCCUCGGUCACAUCGUCAAUAGUGGCAAAGAAAUUCAUAAAGCCCCUCCUAUGAAACAUUGUUGCUCUUGUUACGGACAGAGUGGCCUAUCGCAAAAAAUUAAUCACUAAGCCGCUCAGUCGAAAGGUUGUGCGCGUUUAAACAGCUCGAGCGCGCGCGAGCUGACAACUUUUUAUUGUAAAUAAAUUCCUGCAUACACUGACUUUGUUAUGCUGGUAAUUUUUACCACGA